AAACUACAGAUGCUGCCGAGCUGCCAGCCAUGUCGAGAAAGGACUCUUUUGGGGAGCUCCUGACGAACCUCCCCCGCAUCGCUUCACUACCGCAGUUCCUUUUCAAGAUACCAGAGGAUACUGAGAACUGAAACCUGGAAGUCAAGACCUGGCUCCGCAUUCCCUGAAGUAGGGAGGUCACUGUAAAGAUUGUACCCCAGCAAUAAGAAAAGCCCCCUUAGCCAGGUCUUGACUGAGAACUGAAACCUGGAAGUCAAGACCUGACUCCGCAUUCCCUGAAGUAGGGAGGUCACUGUAAAGAUUGUACCCAAGCAAUAAGAAAAGCCACCGUAGCUCUCCUCCUUCAGAGGUGAGUUCCCCGCCCUGUAAAUGUGACACCCGGUAGGUUGCUCCAAUUGUCUGUAUGUUUCGUGACUCAAAUGGGUAGUGGAAAAAUUAAAAUGUUCAUUGGUUCUUUUUAA
This 461-nucleotide long non-coding RNA is filed under the name Setaria italica (foxtail millet). RNAcentral's name for it is "long non-coding RNA (SITA_LNC002759)". The record is from RNAcentral. Lineage: Eukaryota; Viridiplantae; Streptophyta; Magnoliopsida; Poales; Poaceae.